UUAAAACUGAACUCAAACAUUUGAUUGACAUUUAAUAGUAGAGAACCAGAACCAAGGCAUACUUCCUAUAAGUGAUAGUGGCUCACUGAUUGUUCAGUGAAGAACGAUUUUUAACAGUAGCAGCAAAAUGGUUUAUAUUGGACACCUAUAAUUGAAGAAGCUUCUUUACCCAGAGUUUAGUAUUUACUUGGGAUAUUGGGAGUUUAAGUUUUAAUGCAUGUACAUCUGACUUUUGAAUUCAAAAUAGUAAAUUUCUAGGUACUUAGAAAGCAAGUAAGUAACAAAACAGAAUUACUGCCCCUCCAAUCCCCUCUCAGGCCUUGUUUCUUACCCAGAGGUAGCUAAUUUUCGCCUUUUUCUCUUUCCAUUUGGUGCCAUAUGUUAAAGUUAGUUGUUUGUGUAUCUUGCUAGAUUGUAAGUUCCCUAAAUGUAGGGGCGUCUGCAUUUUUGCCUUUGUAUUUCAGUGCUUUUGCACUGAACUUAAAUCAUAGCUAUCAAUAUAUAACUUUGGAGAACAGGGAGAAGACACUAGAGAUAUAUAUCUAAUAGUAACUGCAGUUACAAAACAGAACUUUUUAGGAGUAGAUAAUAGAAAUAUGGAAUAUCAUGGAAUUUGUUUAUAAAAUUUCUUCCUAAACUGAGUUUGGCCUGAUCAUAUAAUAGCAUUUAGUGAUCACAUGCCUUGUGCAGGGACUAUUUUAAGUGUCUAAUUUGAUUUUUAAAAUUAAAAGUUACUUUAUACCUAAAGAUGAGUGCUUAGUUAUUGUUUAUAUUAUACAGAUAAGGAAACUGAAUUUAAGUAAUUUACCCAAGGACAUUCAGCUAACAAAAUGGUGGGCUAGAAGAACAACCCAGGUAAUCUACCUAUUGAACCAGAACUUUUUUGUUUUGUGUGAUUUUUAUAAUAUAAAAGGGUCUUGAUUCUAAAUGUAAUUUUUUUUUAACUUUUAAGUUCAGGAAUACAAGUGCAGGCCUGUUACAUGGGGCAAAUGUGUGUCAUGACACCCAAGUAUUAAGCCUAGUAUCCGUUAGUUAUUUUCCCUGAUUCUCUCUCUCCUCCCACUCUCUAUCCUCUAAAAGACCCCAAUAUGUAUUGUUCCCCUCUAUGUGUCCAUGUGUUCUCAUCAU
Long non-coding RNA from Sapajus apella (tufted capuchin), 1128 nucleotides. RefSeq lists it as uncharacterized. The record is from RefSeq and is a predicted model, not a curated record. The transcript is spliced from 2 exons. NCBI's taxonomy places the organism in Eukaryota, Metazoa, Chordata, Mammalia, Primates, Cebidae.